This 621-nucleotide ribosomal RNA is filed under the name Schweinfurthia papilionacea. Its description in RNAcentral is "eukaryotic LSU rRNA". The stretch from base 243 to 398 matches the Rfam family "5.8S ribosomal RNA". Lineage: Eukaryota; Viridiplantae; Streptophyta; Magnoliopsida; Lamiales; Plantaginaceae. The record is from RNAcentral.
UCGAAACCUGCAAAGCAGACCCGCGAACGUGUGUUUAUUCAACCCUCGGGACGCCGARGCGCGGGGCGGACGAGAGUCCCCCCCGGGUCGAGGCGCCCUCGCUCCUGCGACGCGUGCGUCGUUUGAGCCAACGAACCCCGGCGCGGCAUGCGCCAAGGAAAACAACAAAGAAGCGUCGACCCUCGUUGCCCCGUGCGCGGGUGCCGGCGAGGGGAAACACGACCUCUCUUGAAUGUCAAAACGACUCUCGGCAACGGAUAUCUCGGCUCUCGCAUCGAUGAAGAACGUAGCGAAAUGCGAUACUUGGUGUGAAUUGCAGAAUCCCGUGAACCAUCGAGUCUUUGAACGCAAGUUGCGCCCGAAGCCACUAGGCCGAGGGCACGUCUGCCUGGGCGUCACGCAUCGCGUCGCCCCCCUCCCAGUCCAUCCUUUGGGCGCCGGGAUGGGGGCGGACACUGGCCUCCCGUGCGCGCCCGCGUGCGGCCGGCCCAAAUGCGAUCCCGCGUCGACGGAUGUCGCGACAAGUGGUGGUUGAACUUUCAACUCGCGUGCUGUCGUGCCUGGCUCCGUCGUACGCUCGGGCAUCGUUUCGACCCAAGGGCGCCUGCGCGCGCCUCCGAC